UUACGGCCAUACCGCGUUUAAAAAUCGAUUCUCGUAUGAUCGUCGAAGUUAAGCAACGAUUGAGAAUGGUCAGUACCUAGAUGGGUGACCGCUUGGGAAUACGAGGUGCUGUAAG
Molecule: non-coding RNA, 115 nt
Organism: Acanthosepion pharaonis
Lineage: Eukaryota; Metazoa; Mollusca; Cephalopoda; Sepiida; Sepiidae
Source: the annotation of a GenBank genome assembly